This 497-nucleotide ribosomal RNA is filed under the name uncultured bacterium. RNAcentral's name for it is "partial 16S ribosomal RNA". It matches the Rfam family "Bacterial small subunit ribosomal RNA", at positions 28 to 507 of the family's 1533-position model. The record is from RNAcentral.
GGUGAACGCUGGCGGCGUGCCUAAUACAUGCAAGUCGAGCGAACAGAUGAGGAGCUUGCUCCUCUGACGUUAGCGGCGGACGGGUGAGUAACACGUGGAUAACCUACCUAUAAGACUGGGAUAACUUCGGGAAACCGGAGCUAAUACCGGAUAAUAUAUUGAACCGCAUGGUUCAAUAGUGAAAGACGGUUUUGCUGUCACUUAUAGAUGGAUCCGCGCCGCAUUAGCUAGUUGGUAAGGUAACGGCUUACCAAGGCAACGAUGCGUAGCCGACCUGAGAGGGUGAUCGGCCACACUGGAACUGAGACACGGUCCAGACUCCUACGGGAGGCAGCAGUAGGGAAUCUUCCGCAAUGGGCGAAAGCCUGACGGAGCAACGCCGCGUGAGUGAUGAAGGUCUUCGGAUCGUAAAACUCUGUUAUUAGGGAAGAACAAAUGUGUAAGUAACUAUGCAUGUCUUGACGGUACCUAAUCAGAAAGCCACGGCUAACUACGUG